GUGGGUAUAGCUCAGUUGUAGAGCACAUGCUUAGCAUGUGUAGGGUGCUGGGUUCAAUCCCCAGUACCUCCA
RNAcentral lists this transfer RNA (72 nucleotides) under Camelus bactrianus (Bactrian camel). It matches the Rfam family "tRNA". Rfam says of the family: Transfer RNA (tRNA) molecules are approximately 80 nucleotides in length. The record is from Rfam by way of RNAcentral. Lineage: Eukaryota; Metazoa; Chordata; Mammalia; Artiodactyla; Camelidae. RNAcentral also lists the same sequence under 2 other names.